This 137-nucleotide small nucleolar RNA is filed under the name Drosophila mojavensis. RNAcentral's name for it is "snoRNA:GI25406". The record is from RNAcentral. Lineage: Eukaryota; Metazoa; Arthropoda; Insecta; Diptera; Drosophilidae.
GCAUUUACCUGGAGGCUUCCUGCGCCUGCUUGCCGCUUAGCCUAGUCAUUAAUAAAUGCCAGAUCAAAUGCAUAAAUUGGACAUUAUUUUCACACUGAAACAAUUAGUGUAAAGAUUUUAUAUGAUUUAUGCAACAA